Molecule: transfer RNA, 70 nt
Filed under: Megacopta cribriella
Lineage: Eukaryota; Metazoa; Arthropoda; Insecta; Hemiptera; Plataspidae
Description: tRNA-Ser
Rfam family: tRNA
About the family: Transfer RNA (tRNA) molecules are approximately 80 nucleotides in length. Their secondary structure includes four short double-helical elements and three loops (D, anti-codon, and T loops).
Source: RNAcentral
AGUUAGCCAGUUCAAAGAGAACCUUUUACCUUGAAAGUAUAAUAAGAAGGUUAAAAUCCUUCACUAACUU